GAUGAACGCUGGCGGCGUGCUUAACACAUGCAAGUCGAACGGAAAGGCCAGUGCUUGCACUGGUGCUCGAGUGGCGAACGGGUGAGUAACACGUGGGUGAUCUGCCCUGCACUUUGGGAUAAGCCUGGGAAACUGGGUCUAAUACCAGAUAGGACCAUGCUUUGGAUGGUGUGGUGGAAAGUUUUUUCGGUGUGGGAUGAGCUUGCGGCCUAUCAGCUUGUUGGUGGGGUAAUGGCCUACCAAGGCGUCGACGGGUAGCCGGCCUGAGAGGGUGUACGGCCACAUUGGGACUGAGAUACGGCCCAGACUCCUACGGGAGGCAGCAGUGGGGAAUAUUGCACAAUGGGCGCAAGCCUGAUGCAGCGACGCCGCGUGGGGGAUGACGGCCUUCGGGUUGUAAACUCCUUUCGCAACUGACGAAGCUUUUUGUGACGGUAGGUUGAGAAGAAGCACCGGCUAACUACGUGC
This 468-nucleotide ribosomal RNA is filed under the name uncultured bacterium. RNAcentral's name for it is "partial 16S ribosomal RNA". It matches the Rfam family "Bacterial small subunit ribosomal RNA", at positions 28 to 508 of the family's 1533-position model. The record is from RNAcentral.